Microcebus murinus (gray mouse lemur) is the source of this 480-nucleotide non-coding RNA. NCBI's taxonomy places the organism in Eukaryota, Metazoa, Chordata, Mammalia, Primates, Cheirogaleidae. The record is from RefSeq and is a predicted model, not a curated record.
CCUCGCGCCCCGCCGUCGUCCCCGCCCGGGCCCGACCCUGGCGGCGGGGGCUGAGGCCGCCCGUCAGCCUUGACUUACUGGAUGUACUUUGUCUCCAACUUCCUUGUGGCCGCCACAGAUAAUCCCUCGUGAAGCCAGAGAGGCAUAACAGGACCUCGGUGGCCUUGAUUGGCUUCAAACAAGCUCAAGUCCAUGAACCCCACGAAGAAGCCUGCUGGGGGUUGCUUGGGAAAGCUUUUGUCACUCUUAAGAAGGAACAUAAGGAGGAAAUGCUGCUGGAUGUUAUUGUUCGCCUGUGCUUGGCAGCGGCCCUGCAGCCCUGAGAGGAAGUGGCUUGAGGAGCAUCUUGCCCCUGUGGUGGCUGCACGAGAGACAGGAAGAGCAUGGGUCCCCAGUGACACCACUGGGCUAUUAACCAGUCCUGCUGCUGCCCUGCCUGGGAGUUCUUGUUAUAAGAGAUAAUAAAUAUCUUUAUUUAAA